This 190-nucleotide small nuclear RNA is filed under the name Acanthisitta chloris (rifleman). RNAcentral's name for it is "U2 spliceosomal RNA". The stretch from base 1 to 128 matches the Rfam family "U2 spliceosomal RNA". From Rfam's summary of the family: U2 is a small nuclear RNA (snRNA) component of the spliceosome (involved in pre-mRNA splicing). Lineage: Eukaryota; Metazoa; Chordata; Aves; Passeriformes; Acanthisittidae. The record is from Rfam by way of RNAcentral.
UCCACUUCUCAGCUGCUGGCUGAGAUCAAGUGCAUCAUCUUUUCUUACCACUUCAUUAUCUGAUACAUCCUCAGUUUGAAGAUUUUCUAUUAAAUGGAUUUGGAAGGCAUGGGAAUGAGCAACCCCUUUGUCCAUCUACUCCAUGCAUCAACCCAAAAGUGCAGUGCUGCCUGAGACUGUGGCCACACUG